UACGUAGGGCGCAAGCGUUGUCCGGAAUAACUGGGCGUAAAGGGAGCGCAGGCGGCUUGGUAAGUCUAAAGUGAAAUCCCAGAGCUCAACUCUGGACGGGCUUUAGAUACUGCCUGGCUUGAGUACGUGAGAGGAGAUUGGAAUUCCAGGUGUAGCGGUGAAAUGCGUAGAUAUCUGGAGGAACACCGGUGGCGAAAGCGGAUCUCUGGCACGUUACUGACGCUGAGGCUCGAAAGCAUGGGGAGCAAACGGG
Molecule: ribosomal RNA, 253 nt
Filed under: uncultured bacterium
Lineage: Bacteria
Description: partial 16S ribosomal RNA
Rfam family: Bacterial small subunit ribosomal RNA
Source: RNAcentral